Molecule: long non-coding RNA, 3351 nt
Filed under: Nicotiana benthamiana
Lineage: Eukaryota; Viridiplantae; Streptophyta; Magnoliopsida; Solanales; Solanaceae
Description: long non-coding RNA (NBEN_LNC012617)
Source: RNAcentral
UCAUGUUUAGCUUAUUUAUCUGAUUUUAUAUAUGUUGUAACUUAUGUGCCGAUUUUAACUUUUAACCAGUUUUAUUUAAUUUAUUAAAGAAAAUUGAACGUCGUCUGAUACUUGUCUUUUGAUUGCAUCGCAUGAAAUGAACCUGCAAUCCUGAAUACAUCCGAUUCGACGUUUUGGGAUUUGGAUUUAGGUCGCAUGAAAUGCAUACCCGAGUUUAAGAAGAUAAGAUUAUUAAGCACGCACCUAAUGAGACUAUCAUGUUAUUAUUUUUUGGGGAAGACCGUGAAAUUUGAUAAACGGCCCCUCCCGAAAUCUAAGUAGUUAAUAUAUAUACAUUUAUGAGGGCCCCGCAGUUUGUGCCAUUUUAUUUGACGAGGCUCGUCUCAUUUAUUUAAAAGGACAAUCCUAAUGUGACUACAUUUCUCUAUUAAGUUAGUCUCUAAAAAAUGAAAAGAAAAUUCCUAGUUUAUUUACAUGCUUACCAGUUAUUAUAUCUAAGUCCCGGACACAAUUUGUUAAAUCUAAAAAUGAAUGUAGUAAGAGCAGUCUGUUGCCAACUAUGGGCCCAAGUCCAGCGCAUAUAGCAUUUAAUGGGACUUGGGCCAUCUUUAUUCUGAAAUUGGGCCUAGCUAAAUUAUCCUAUGCAUGCUUGAAACUUUUAAGAAGCAAAAAUGAAAGUGCUAUCCAAUUAUACAUUCUCUUGUAAGUUUAGGUAGGCAGUUUGUUAAAUUAAAUAGCUUAAACUAUCUAACAGUCAACUACCAAAGUCCUAACACACGUUUGAAAUAGGUCACUUAACAAACAAAUUGAAAUAAUCAGAAUAUUGUUUAUUACAAGCAUACAUAGGGAGUUCACCAACUAAGUUACCAUGUAUGAAUGUCUAGUUAUACAUCAGCUACCUAUAUGAUUCUAGUAGGGGAAAUGAACUAUUCUAUACACGACUGUUGUUAAAUAUACUACUAAAAAUGAAUUUUAAAAAAAUGGCUUCAUGCAAAUCAGUUGCGUACCUGAUAUUUGGAAAGCAAAGAAGAGGGAGAUCAGUAGAAACAGCAGUAACAUACACAGCAAAUAACAGUACUCAGCAACAAAUAGCAACACCCAAUAACCAGCAAUAACCAGCAGUAGAACCCAGGGACAGCUAAAACAAUCAGAAAAUCCAGUAGCGACCCAAUGAAACAAUGCUCAAUCCGCUAGAUAACAUCGCAGAUGCCGAAAAUAAAACCCAGCAGUACCAAAAGGCAAUCACAGAUAAAGCAGAAGAAAGGCAAAUGUAAGUAAACAAUACUGUUUCUGAUUAUCAGCCCUCAAGGAAGACCAAAUUGAAAUUUUUUAAGUGAAAAGUCAGCCUAAUGUCACUCUGUAUCUGACCUUUUUUCAGUUAUGAAAAAUCACUUCAACUCCAACUCUUAAGUUCUGAAUUCUUCUCUAAAAAAAUUCUCUUCUCUCUCAGAUUGUGUGUGUACCUUUAGUUUUAGAAUGAGCUUAUUUAUAGGCUAUAACUAGACAUCUUUUUCUCAAAGUUCCUCACUUUACAGCCAAUUUUAUUCCCUUCUCAUGUGCAUUUCUACCUUCUCAUCAUUAAACACAUGUUAUUACUGAUUUCCCACUGGUAAAGUCACUAAGCUAACUCAAACAGUACCCUUUUAUCAUUAACCCCUUAAGGUUUCUGAUCUUCCCCCUUUAAGGUAUUGAAAAGAAUGUCAGCUUUUAAUUUUAAAAAAUCCCUUGUUAUUCCCUGAAUCCCAUUACUGAAUGUCCAGUUUGUUAUUCCAAUUAAUUAAGUGUGCAGCCUGGAUUUUAUUCAAUUCUCCCAUGUUAUUUCUGACUUGACCCCACCCCAUAAUAUUAAAGAAAGUUAUCAGCUUAGUGGUACCUUAAUGCUACUGACAGAACAUUAAGUUCCUAACAAAAAACUAAGGUAUUUUCUUUUCAGGUUUUAAGACUAAAUUAACCCCAGGGCACAUGACCUACUGCCUUGUCCUAAAUUAGAACCCCCAUAACAUGAUUUAUAAUUAACUACUAAGGUAUUGCAGCUAUAACUAAUUUCACAACUAAAUUCAAACAAUGAUUCAAUCAAAAUUGAGACAGUAUGAAUCAAAUUGCUAUCAGGGCAUUAUAACAUUCAAACUUGUAAAACUAAUCAACGACACUCAAUCAAUCGACUAUAUAAAUCACCACAAACACUAUCAGGGCAUUCUAACAUUCAAACCUGUAAAACUAAUCGAUGAUACUCAAUCAAUCGACUAUAUAAAUCACCACAUACACAAUUGAUAACACAUAGAAACAAACAGACAAAAUAAAGGAUUCAAGUGAUGUGACAAAACAGGGGUUGUAAUGAAACUGACUAGUCGACCAAGUUUUCCAAAAUCGACUACACGGUUUAUACACUUAACAAUGAACAGACAAAAUUUUUGAUCAAAUAAAAGGUCUGAAUUGGAGAAGAAGAACAAAGCAUAUAGAUUGGAAAUAAAAUUAUUCUAACCACACAAACGAAUAAAAAAAUAGAACAAACAAAGAAAAAGAAAAGGAAUGCCUUGAGUAGACUACAUGACCCAAGUUCGAACUCAGACUCGACCUCUUUGAGGUCGAAUGGACCUUAAUCGAGUGUUCUCAAUGGAGAACACUUCGACUGAGGUCUAUUAGACCCCCAAUCCCUCUACUAAUUUGGACCAAUUCCUGGUUCUUGGAUUUCUAGGGUUCUUGGGCUCAGAUUAAGCUUGAAGGUUUCUACCUAGAUUCGAACCAAACAAAGAUUAGUUUGGUUACGAGUGAGUUUAGGGAAAGGUCGUGCAUCAGUUUCAGGCAAUUUGGUGUAGUUUGGAUUUGGAUUCGAAUCUUCGAAUGAAGAUUCGAGAAGUUUUGGCUUGGUUCGAGAGAUGUGGCUAGGUUAGUCGUGUUUGGGGUGAAGAGGGGGUUCUGUUGUUUUAAGAUGGUGACCGGCGGCGUAGUUGCCGAUGAGCUUCAGGUGGAAGGAGCUUAGGGCGUCUAGGGUUUUCAGAGGUUCGUCUCUGAUCUCUUGAGAGAGAUAAAGUGAGAUGGGGUGGGGUUGGCUAUGGGGGCGUGGGGUAAGAGACGGGGGGUUUAUAUACGAAGGGGGUGGUUGGAUCCUGGCCGUUGGAUCAAGAAUGAUCAACAGCCAAGAUAUUUCAUAUGGGUGAAACAGUGUCGUGUGAUUUAAGUGAGACUGGGUCGGUCUCUGGGGUUAAAUGGGUUGGGUAUCAGGGAAUGUUCGGGAAUGUUAAACAAGCUAAGAUGGAUGGCUCAUAUCACACGCCUAAAUACGGUGUCAUUUGGACUAGAAGGAGACCUGAUCUGGGUCGUUCAAAAAUGAUUUGAUCAACGGUGUCGUUU